This 440-nucleotide ribosomal RNA is filed under the name uncultured bacterium. RNAcentral describes it as "partial 16S ribosomal RNA". It matches the Rfam family "Bacterial small subunit ribosomal RNA", at positions 338 to 795 of the family's 1533-position model. The record is from RNAcentral.
CCUACGGGAGGCAGCAGUGGGGAAUAUUGCACAAUGGGGGAAACCCUGAUGCAGCGACGCCGCGUGAGCGAAGAAGUAUUUCGGUAUGUAAAGCUCUAUCAGCAGGGAAGAUAAUGACGGUAUCUGACCAAGAAGCCCCGGCUAACUACGUGCCAGCAGCCGCGGUAAUACGUAGGGGGCAAGCGUUAUCCGGAUUUACUGGGUGUAAAGGGAGCGUAGACGGCAGCACAAGUCUGGAGUGAAAUCCCGGGGCUUAACCCCGGAACUGCUUUGGAAACUGUGCGGCUGGAGUGCAGGAGGGGUAAGCGGAAUUCCUAGUGUAGCGGUGAAAUGCGUAGAUAUUAGGAGGAACACCGGUGGCGAAGGCGGCUUACUGGACUGUAACUGACGUUGAGGCUCGAAAGCGUGGGGAGCAAACAGGAUUAGAUACCCUUGUAGUC